UACGUAGGGUGCAGGCGUUAAUCGGAAUUACUGGGCGUAAAGCGUGCGCAGGCGGUCUCUUAAGACAGGUGUGAAAUCCCCGGGCUUAACCUGGGAACUGCGCUUGUAACUGAGAGGCUUGAGUGUGCCAGAGGGGGGUGGAAUUCCACGUGUAGCAGUGAAAUGCGUAGAGAUGUGGAGGAACACCGAUGGCGAAGGCAGCCCCCUGGGCUAACACUGACGCUCAUGCACGAAAGCGUGGGGAGCAAACAGG
RNAcentral lists this ribosomal RNA (253 nucleotides) under uncultured bacterium. RNAcentral describes it as "partial 16S ribosomal RNA". It matches the Rfam family "Bacterial small subunit ribosomal RNA", at positions 524 to 776 of the family's 1533-position model. The record is from RNAcentral.